This 72-nucleotide transfer RNA is filed under the name Marmota monax (woodchuck). RNAcentral's name for it is "tRNA.Ile". Lineage: Eukaryota; Metazoa; Chordata; Mammalia; Rodentia; Sciuridae. The record is from RNAcentral.
UGAGGCUGUAGCUCAGUGGUAGAUCUCUUGCCUAAUAUGUGCAAGGUCCUGGGUUCAAGCUCCAGCACUGAA